UUUAUUAGUAUCAUUAUUAUUAUUUCAUUAUCAAAAUAUAAAUCUGUUUACACAAUUAUUAUUAAAUGCAAUAUUUAAUAUUAAUAAUUUUUUUGUAUUAUUGUUAUAUCAUGUAUGUAUAGACUAUGGAUGCCGAUAUAUAUUUCAAUAAUUUUUUAUAACGGAUAAAGUGUUACUGUUUUAUUGGUCACACGCGGUCAUGGGCUGUUGUCAAAAGUGGUAAAAUUUUUUUAUUAAAAUAAUAUUUUUCUAUCUAUAUAUGUACGAGGAAGCAAAAUUUAAAAGGAAAAAAAUAUGACAUCAGAUUUGACCUAAUUUUUUCCAUUUUGGUACUCCUCUGUUAUCUAUUGCUGGAAACAAAUAGCGGCUAGGGUUGUCUCUCUUGUUGCAUUCCCAAGCUUUCUUCUGUUUUGCCAAAUCCUUUCACCCUGACUCCCCUUUCCAUCAUGUUCUCAAUCUUCUCCACGCUACUUCUAUUUUCGUUUCUAAGCAGAUGGAGAUCGAUGGAAUAAUUAGCCCUGAAUUUGUCAUUCUUUAAGCGUCACUUGUCAUGAAAGUUGAGUGCUUUCUUAACCUAAUUCAGAAAAAUCACGUUAGGAUUUUUGUAUUAGUUGAAGAAAGCAUUCAAAUUGAUGAUAAGUGAUUACACAAGAAUAUGUGAACUGAAUUACUUACGCCACUUUCGUAAUGGGUAGUCAACAAAGCCUGAUCUGGUAAUGUACAGCCCAUUUAUUCACACUCUAUUUAAAGGUAGAGUUGCAAAGGAGGGUUAUGGUUUGUAUUCUGAAAUUAUUGCCAAGAGAAUUUUUCAUAAUCUUUUGAUCUAUAAUAGUGUAGUUUAUGGCUUUUUCAUUGCUGAUAAUUUACCAGAAGCUAUUCAUUAUGUAAAUGAAAUGAUAUUGAACUCUCUCGGACCGACAAGGUGCCGGCAGAGGACUUACUGCUGGAUCUGGUGUAAAUACCGUGCCGAUAGCCGGAAUGUGAUCGAUCCGUUUCAGAAGAACCUUAAUCAAUAUAAAGGUUAAUCUUAUGUUCGGAUUGGGCCUUCAGUGAUCCAUCGGUACAGCUACUAUCCCUAUAUAGUCAGGAGAGGAAGAAAAGGAAAAAAAAGUACCGAUGGUCGGAGUGUUAUUUUGACAGGUACCUUUUCUCUGAGGUUGAGAACUUAAUAUCCUGCGCAGUUAUGGUGAUAAUGGGACCAUGGAAGAACAUUUUGAAACUCACCAUGGAAUUCGGGGUGGAUGUUUAUACCUAUAAUUUCUUGAUAGAUGCAUUAUGCAAAGAAGGAAAGGUCAAAGAAGGCAAAAAUGUGUUAGCUCCAAACAAGCCAAAAUCCUGUUAGCUGAUAUGAAGAAAGCUGGUGUAAAACUUCUUAUUGUUAUCUUAACACAUUAGUGUAUGGGUAUUUCUUAGUUAAUGAAGUGAAAAAUGGGAAACAUGUAUUCAAAGUUAUGAUUCAAAUGGGAGUAACUCCUGGCUUUUCCAGCUAAAAUGUCACGAUUAAUGGACUAAUGAAAGAGUGGAUGAGGCCCUGAAUCUCUUUCAGGAGCAGUAUGGUUCCUGAGAUAGUGACUUAUACUUCUCUUAUCGAUGGUUCAUGCAAAUGUGAAAGAAUCUCUUCUGUUUGGAUCUUAUUGAUGAGAUGUAUGAUUGAAAUCAACAACCAGAUAGCUUAUCUGUAUUUUAGUAAUGAUUUUAAUGUAUUGCUGUGUUUUUAAUC
Vigna angularis (adzuki bean) is the source of this 1720-nucleotide long non-coding RNA. RefSeq lists it as uncharacterized. The transcript has 2 exons. The record is from RefSeq and is a predicted model, not a curated record. Lineage: Eukaryota; Viridiplantae; Streptophyta; Magnoliopsida; Fabales; Fabaceae.